GUUUUCAAAAUGAGAGAACUAAAAGCGAUACGAAGGAAACGAUAAAAAGUAUGGAAGUUUUUUUGAGAUGGUUCCUAAUUCUGACAAUUGAUGGUAAGACGACGUGUAGAUGAGGUCGGUAUGGACCAGUGGAACGAGCUAGACGACGAGUACGCUUUCGUAUACACGAACCCUGACAAGGGUUCGAAGAAGGUGCUCGUCAAGUGCCUUGCGAUGGAAGAUAAAUUGCUAGUGGAUGCUCUUGCUGACGGGGCUUCCGAGCCGGUCCAUCUCUAAAUUAGUGUUGAAGACUAUGCUGGAGAAAAUCGGGGUACCAAUUAUUCUGCGCAAUAUAAGAAUCUGGCGGAGCUGGUGAAGAAACUGGAUACUGAAGUCCUUUCUAAAUUAGAUGGAUCCUCCCUACCCAUUUCAUCAGAUAACGCUUCAAGAUCAAGCCAAGUGUCACCGCCAUCAAGAUUUGAGGCACACGUGCAAGGCAGUUUACUUGCGACAAAAGCUACCGUAUACAAAGCGGCGAAAGGGCAAAACUCCGAAGGGAGCCGCGAAAUCCAUUUUUACCCCGUUACUUUCUCAGGAAGAAUACUCAAGAUUAGUUCGUAAUCGAUCGGAAAAGCAUACAUGGUGGACGACAAGUCGGUUAUGGCUGUGGUCAGGGCGGCCAGACCGUCCUUUCGCAACAAUCACGACAAGAUUGCCUUUGCUGUUCACGCCUCCUGCCUCGCUUCCGGCUACGUUCUCACUGCCACUGGACCCUCCGCCUUCUCCGACACGGCUCUUUCCUCUCCGUCUACUGAUGAGGUCGGUAUGGACCAGUGGAACGAGCUAGACGACGAGUACGCUUUCGUAUACACGAACCCUGACAAGGGUUCGAAGAAGGUGCUCGUCAAGUGCCUUGCGAUGGAUGAUAAAUUGCUAGUGGAUGCUCUUGCUGACGGGGCUUCCGAGCCGGUCCAUCUCGAAAUUAGUGUUGAAUACUAUGCUGGAGAAAAUGGGGGUACCAAUUAUUCUGCGCAAUAUAAGAAUCUGGCGGAGCUGGUGAAGAAACUGGAUACUGAAGUCCUUUCUAAAUUAGAUGGAUCCUCACUACCCAGUUCGUCAAAUAAUGCUUCAAGCUUGGAGACCAGUGAAGCAAGAAGAAGCAACAUUGGCAGUGGUGUUCCAAUUGGUGGACGUUCAAGCCCUGAAACUCAUCCUGCAGGAAUCAUAUAUCCCCCUAUUAAUCCCAGUGGUGGUAGUGAUCUUUUUCCUGGGCCUGGCGCUGGAAUGUACCCAACCAGGGGUGCUUUUGGAGCCGGUGGGAGCAUGCUUGUAGGACCUAAUGAUCCUCGCUGGUUUGGCGGAAUUGCGGGAGACCCUGGUUUCCCUGGAGGACUGCCGAGUAUUCCUCCAGGUGCUCGUUUUGAUCCCUAUGGCCCACCUGGCGUUCCUGGUUUUGAGCCUAAUCGGUUUGCGAGGAGUUUUGAAUAAUCAUCGAGGGUGAGAUAAGUUAAUUGCUUGAAGGAGUUUCUAGAGUUGAUGGAUUGAACUGAAGAAUUCGCUGAUCUGUGUGUAUUAUCUGUGACUGAGGCCCUAGAAGACCUGGGAGUGGGCCACAUCCAGACCUGCAACCCUUUGGGGGUGAUUCGGAUUUCAUUUAGCUGAUGGAGCUCUGUUUCAAUAAACUUUGUUUUCUUGUUCCUCUUUCCUUGGGAUUUCAGCUUCCCAUGGAAACGUGAAAAGGAUGCUGACAUAUGGUUCUCUUUUUUUUUUUUUUUUUUUGGGUGCGGCUAGGGUUCAUUUGGCUAAGAGACACUAUGUAUAUAUUAUGAUUAUGGUGUUUGGUAUUUAGUAUUUUGGUCAUUUAAAUUUAGUGUUCACGUCAUGUGUUUGCUACUUGUUAAGGAUGAAUCCAAAUGUCAAUGAGAUCUUUGGUCA
RNA transcript from Carya illinoinensis, 1914 nucleotides. It is a transcript of the gene named probable proteasome inhibitor, with no coding region annotated. The record is from RefSeq and is a predicted model, not a curated record. Lineage: Eukaryota; Viridiplantae; Streptophyta; Magnoliopsida; Fagales; Juglandaceae. The transcript is spliced from 12 exons.